GCGGAUGUGGCGGAACUGGUAGACGCCCUGGAUUUAGGUUCCAGUGCCGAAAGGCGUGGGGGUUCGAGUCCCUUCAUCCGCA
Non-coding RNA from Mesorhizobium huakuii 7653R, 82 nucleotides. Lineage: Bacteria; Pseudomonadati; Pseudomonadota; Alphaproteobacteria; Hyphomicrobiales; Phyllobacteriaceae. The record is from Rfam.